AUGAAAAGUGAUGCAAAUGAUGCUAAUGGUUACAACAGGAUUCAUUUGAAGACCGAUAAUUCCCGUAAAUUUCAUAGCGUCGCGGAGGACGUCAAUGUUUUAAAUCAUUCCUCAAGUUCUGAUUGUGUGUUUAAUAAAACUUUGAUAAGCAUUGUUUCAGAGGGGAACAAGGUAUACGAAGAUCACAAUAAUAUGAAACGUGCCACAGAAAAUGUGCUUUCAGGCGAUUUGGAAGAUCACGUUUUAGAAGAUGUGUCAGUUGAUAUUGGAUUGGUUCAGGAGGAGCAAUAUUUUGAUAAACCAACAGUAGGUUACGAAGAUCAAAGAGCCUCGUUCUCAAUUUGCGACGACUUGGGAAAAAUUGGUCCCGUGUCGAAGGAUGAACUUGACCUUGUUUACGAGACGAGUAAUGAAACAGGUAAACAUGGUCGGGAAAAAUUCAACAGAGGCGAUCGCGAUGUUUACAAACGGAUGGAAGUGAGCGAGAAACCAGUUGGCUAACCUGUAGACGGAGCGGUGACGUGGCAAGAAUCGGGGGAGUCUCCAAGAGGAAGUGCUCGAGCGGUGUGUCCUGCGUUUUCCACGAUCUUCAUCCACCUUGGUUGGUGAUAGGAAACCUCUGGUGCGACGAAAGUUGUUGCCGGCUACGUAUCAUGGUUGAGGGGGGCCGCAGUGUUGCUGCUAUGGUUCCAUGUCGUCGCUUUAAACAUUGGCACGUACGUCAUCACUGGCGGACUAGACCGUCUGCUCUUAGUACUCCAGCACUCUGGACCAGCUAAUGUUUUCCUGGAUCAAACUCAUGUUUCACGUCUCGGUGCAGGAGCUUUACACUUGGGUUCAAGAAGGCGUCGGCAACCGGAUCAACUUCAUUGGUUUCAAGGCCACGGAGAUUUCUUCCCCCAAGUAUGCGCUACAUGGUCGACGACGAAGGGACACGGUGCUCUGUUUUUUUCUCCGUUGACGGAGGUGACUCACACGACCACGGGUCUUUUCCGCGGCCAUUCAUGGAUACAGCCUGGCUCGUCGCUUUGGACAUACAGGAACCGGACGGCGGUGAUCGGCACUCCUCUGCAGGACUCUCGGACGAUUCGCGCGGCUACACGAGGAUGGGACGCAGGGAAGCACACUCAACAAACAGGAUUCGGACGGCAGCAUCGGCAGUUUUAUUGUACAUUUUUAAUAAUUGCUAAAAUUUUUAUGGGAAGGGAGAAGACUGAUUUCAGCCAGGUGGUCCUCGAGACGCUUAUCCCUGAUUGGGUUGAUUCUGUCGCUGGAGUCUGUCUCAUCUACGAAAAAAUCGAGUCAUUAGAAUGAGAUUAGAGCAUUUUUUGUUUUUGGUAGCGAGGGAUGAUGUUGUGGGACCAGACCUUGCAGGUUUGGUGUCCACAUUCAGCUCCGUAGAUGAGGCAUGCUUCGCGGCAUGGCUCUUCGUGAGAAAUCGCGGAGGUCCAGGGUCAGUCCUAUCGGACGGAGUUUCUCGAGGCGCAUUUGUUUGUGUCCGCGCGGAGAGCUUCCGUUUUUCGGAAGCUCAAGCAUUGACAUAAAAAGAUGUGAUAUCCGCGUGUGCGAGAUCAGUCAUCUAGGACAGAUUCUAGAGCUAGAUCCGGUUGGCCCCUGUGAGUGGUGCUUUUUGUUGUGAUUCCUAUAGAGAUUUAGAGAUAUAUGUUCAUUGUGCUAUUUCCAUACUCGGUCGUGUUCUUCAUUUUUGCCUGCAUUCCCCACAACAAUAUUAGAAAAUUAAUUAAACAUUAAAAAAGAAAAAAAUCAAUCAUGAUUAUCACAGCUGAUGCCCGGAUGACAAGCUGAAUUGUACUUCAUUUUUGCUUUUAAGCAGCGGCAUCUUCCUGUUUUGCAGCUUGAUUUCUUACAGUUGCACCGCUCAUAUCCUUGCCCAGUUCCUACGGAUUGUUUGCGUACGGCUUCCCGAAUACUCAGUGUUACAUCAGGGACGUCAGUUGCGGCCAGCCCUCGAAAUUUGGAGAGUUCAAAGCCGUUCCUGGUGAACCACGUUUCAAUUAUUCCCGAUCGCGUGCCUACUUGAUAUUUGUCAUCUUUCACUUUUAAAACAACGCCGACCGUAUUUGCCGGAUAACCUCUUCCACGAUCAAAUUCCGGGAUAGGAAUAGCAACGCAAUCGCCAACUUGACACGCACCCAAUUUCUUGUUGGUUCGGUUCACCAUUUUCACCGCUUGUUUCUUCAAGUUUACGCUGGCUUUUCCUCUAGCAGCAAUCGCAGGAUGUUUUUCAGGGGCGGAGUCACUUUCCAUGGGCAAUUUUUCCGUUUGGGGCGCUUGGCUGGCGGAAACUUCGGGCUUUUCACGGGCGGAGUCACUGUCUAUGGGCAAUUUUUCCGUUUGGGGCGCUUGGCUGGCGGAAACUUCGGGCUUUUCACGGGCGGAGUCACUGUCCAUGGGCAAUUUUUCCGUUUGGGGCGCUUGGCUGGCGGAAACUUCGGGCUUUUCAGGGCCAGAGUCAGAAUCGACAGAUUGAGCAGCAUCAACUAUUUCUACCGGCAAAGUUUCAAUUUGAAUAAAUUGAGUGGGUGGUACUGCUGAGUUAUCAGGGACAACAUCCGGACAAGGUCUCUUACGAAGAGGUCCAUCGAUAGUGGUUUCAUCGGGCAUUUCAACAGGUAAAAAGGCAUCUACAGAAAUCCCAUCCUCGACCUCUACAAUUGCUUCGCUUUCAGCUGCAGAAAUCAUUUCCAUCAACUCCUCUUCCAAGGUUCCUGAGUUGAUUUUUUCUAAAAAGCAGGAGGGCAAAGAAGAACUUAAACUAAGUUUGGCUUUUUCUCCGAAAAGCGCUUCGUAGGGUUGCAUUUUAAUAGCUUCGUGGUAGCAAGUGUUCAAGUUCCAUUGCACGAGCCGCAGGCCAAGGCUCCAUGCGCUCGUCUUAUUAUCCCUCAUCCAGGCCGUGAGCGAUUCCUUUACUGCUGCAUUACCUCUUUCCACGGAACCCUGACUCUGAGGAUACCGAGGGCGUCCAUUGACGAGUACUAGUCCUGGCCAUAACUUUGCAAGCUCUUUGAUAAUAUUAGCGGUAAAUUCUCUUCCGUUGUCCGACUGCAAAACGUGCGGCGCAGCAAAAUCAAUGAAAAUGUAGAAGAGAUUUUGAGCAACUUCUGAUGCGGUUUUCGUUCUCAAUGGCCGCAGGAAACUGUAUUUUGUGAGAAAUUCCUUGUAAUGGAAAAUAUAUCGGUACUCCCCAUCCUGCAGGCUCUGCAUAUCAAUAAGAUCCACUUGUCCCCUCUGGUUCAAAGCAUUUGCUGUAAUUGGCUUUACAACAACUCCGGGGCCAGUUUCUUUUUUUUUUCAUCUUCUCCGUACACCUCUCACACCCUUAAAUAUACGCUGCAACAACAGACCGGGGUAUAUUUGCGUAAGUCUCGCAUAUUUUUGAAUAGGUUUUUUUUUUCACCUUUGUGGUUUAGGGACGUGUGGAUAUCUUCUAUUAUUUGAUAGGCUCUGGGUUUCGUGACCACCAGCAGACUAUCUUUUUUACGGGCUACUCUUUUCACACCCAGAAACUCGGUGAUUGAGUAAUUUUCUCUUGCGUGGUAGUAGGUUCUGGACCGUUUCAUCCCUGCAGCCGCCUGACAGCUCAGAUGAGCGAGAACAUCAGCUUCGUACGUCUCGUCCCAAAGCAAGGAACAUUUCUCAAUGGCUGUCAACGCUGCAGUGUUCAUGUUCAGUCAAAACAGGUCAAAAGGAAAACAAAAAGUUGAAGUGUCAGCUAAAAUUUGAAAAACCUGAAAAACAAAAAGAAACUUGGACUUUCCUCCCCUCUUGAUUUUCCUACCCUUCUUUAAAACACAUGAGGAGCAAAUGAUCUUUUCGAAAAUCCCACUUCGUUCAAUUUAAUUUGAUUUAAUUGUUUCAUUUCAUUUCAUUUCAUUUAUUUCUAAUAAAUUUAAUAGAAACAGGAAUCUAUAAGAGAAUGAAGAGAGGAAUAAAAACAAGAAAUAAAAAAGAAAAUAAAAAAUUGUGACUAUUUUAAAAUUUAAAUGAACCGGCAACAUUGUGCCGUCGUCUCAUUAAAAGA
RNAcentral lists this long non-coding RNA (4042 nucleotides) under Bemisia tabaci. RNAcentral's name for it is "lncRNA ENSASIAIIG009359". Lineage: Eukaryota; Metazoa; Arthropoda; Insecta; Hemiptera; Aleyrodidae. The record is from RNAcentral.